RNAcentral lists this ribosomal RNA (467 nucleotides) under uncultured Syntrophus sp. RNAcentral's name for it is "bacterial SSU rRNA". It matches the Rfam family "Bacterial small subunit ribosomal RNA", at positions 337 to 795 of the family's 1533-position model. The record is from RNAcentral. Lineage: Bacteria; Pseudomonadati; Thermodesulfobacteriota; Syntrophia; Syntrophales; Syntrophaceae.
CCCUACGGGGGGCUGCAGUGAGGAAUAUUGCGCAAUGGGGGCAACCCUGACGCAGCAACGCCGCGUGAGUGAGGAAGGUUUUCGGACUGUAAAGCUCUGUCGAGCGGGAAGAAAUGCCUGGUGGCUAAUAUCCAUCAUGCUUGACGGUACCGCUAGAGGAAGCACCGGCUAACUCCGUGCCAGCAGCCGCGGUAAUACGGGGGGUGCAAGCGUUGUUCGGAAUCAUUGGGCGUAAAGAGCGUGUAGGCGGCUGGAUAAGUCAGAUGUGAAAGCCCUGGGCUUAACCCAGGAAGUGCAUUUGAAACUAUUCAGCUGGAGUAAGGGAGAGGAAAGUGGAAUUCCUGGUGUAGAGGUGAAAUUCGUAGAUAUCAGGAGGAACACCGGCGGCGAAGGCGACUUUCUGGCCCUAUACUGACGCUGAGACGCGAGAGCGUGGGUAGCAAACAGGAUUAGAUACCCGGGUAGUC